GGGGAUGUAGCUCAGUGGUAGAGCGUUCACUUUGCAUGCAAAAGGACCUGGGUUCGAUACCCAACAUCUCCA
This 72-nucleotide transfer RNA is filed under the name Octopus bimaculoides (California two-spot octopus). RNAcentral describes it as "transfer RNA alanine (anticodon UGC)". It matches the Rfam family "tRNA". Rfam says of the family: Transfer RNA (tRNA) molecules are approximately 80 nucleotides in length. Their secondary structure includes four short double-helical elements and three loops (D, anti-codon, and T loops). Lineage: Eukaryota; Metazoa; Mollusca; Cephalopoda; Octopoda; Octopodidae. The record is from RNAcentral.